This is a long non-coding RNA of Cercocebus atys (sooty mangabey), 2224 nucleotides long. RefSeq lists it as uncharacterized. NCBI's taxonomy places the organism in Eukaryota, Metazoa, Chordata, Mammalia, Primates, Cercopithecidae. The transcript has 2 exons. The record is from RefSeq and is a predicted model, not a curated record.
AGCCUGGGAGACAGAGAGAGGCUCCGUCUCAAUAAAUAGACAGACAGACAGACAGACAGACAGAUAGAUAAAUGCUAUCUAAGACUUUCAUUGCUAGAGAGAAGUCAAUGCCUGGUUUCAAAUCUUCGAAGGACAUGCUGACUCUCUUGUUAGAGGCUAAUGCAGCUGGUGACUUUAAGUUGAAUCCAAUGCUCACAUCCCAUUGCAAAAAUCACAGGGCCCUUAAAAAUUAUGCAAUAUCUACUCUACCUGUGCUGUAAAAAUGGAACAACAAAGCCUAGAUGACAGUACAUCUGUUUAGAACACUGUUUACUGAGUAUUUUAAGACCCGCUGCUCAGGAAAAAAGAUUUAUUUCAAAAUAUUAUUGCUCAUUUACAAUGCACGUGGUCACUCAACAGUUCUAAUGGCAAGGUACAAAGUUAAACAGGAAAAAGAGAAGACACAAAAGUGUUAAAAAUCCUAAUAAUUAGACAUGUCUGGAUUAACAAAUCUGUAAACUUUCUCCAACUCUCUCAAAGAGUCAAUCACUCCCUCUACAGUGCUUAUAUAACACUUUACAUAAUUUAUAUUCCUACUCUAGCAUUUAUCGUAUCAUAUUAUUUAUAUGUAUCUCAUCAAUUACAAUUAUUUCCUCUAAGACGACAACCAUGCCUUAUUCAUUUUUAUAUUCCCAGAAAAGUAUAAGAAACAUACCAGCUGAUAACACUUGUUUUAUGAAUAGGUUAAAUUUAUACACUUCAAAGACCAAAAUAAUUUCUAUUAGAGAAAUUUUGAUCUUUCUAAGAUCAUUUCAGCACAGAAAAUUUCAAAAGAUUUGAAUUAAAUUAGCCAACUAAUACAAAUACCAAAUCCAAAUUCGCUUUACAGCGAAUGGAACUUGAAAGGCUAAUUUCCUCACCCAUAAUCAAGAAACCACACUCCACAGACCUAAUAUAAAGACAAACACUAAACACUUACCGCCCAUAGUCUUUAUAUAAAGUGUACCCUGCCAUAUCAGAGAAUUUCUGGUCAUGCAAAAACAAAAGUGGGAUUAAAGGAGGAAAUCUUUACAAAUGAUGCCUUCCUUUUUGUUUAUCCCAGCACACCUUAUUAAGGCCAACAGAUCUUAAGAUAUAACAAUCAGAAUUAUAGUAUAUUAGUUUAGUUUUAAUUACCUAGGCUCCAGUUCUGUUUCUAUACUUCAAGCCCAUUUGGCUCUCCAGAGAGCAAGUAUCAUUACAUUAUGCAGGGUCACAAAGAAAACUCUAAUUUAGAGGAAAACAAUUCUAUAAUUAUUAAUAAUAGUUCCUAUGACCUUCCCAGUUUUUCUAAGUUUCCUACAAGAUGAUCAGAAUUCUCAAGGUAGUGAAUGAAAAAUAAAUGACUAUUUUUAAAAAGAUAAGCAACAUUGCCCCCAUGUUUUAAAAAGGGUCCUAAUUAUUUUAGUACAUUUAUAUUAUUCUCUCCAGUAUUAGCAUCUGAGAACUUUUUAAAUGUCCCAUAUUUCAUUAAAUGCACACUUGGAUGUACACAUUUCCAUUUUAAAAUGCACUAUAGGCUAUCAAUGAGGUGACUAAGUGGCAUUUUACUAAGUAAUGUCCCCCACAGUACCUGACACAUUAUAUACAAAUAAUAAACAUUUGAUUAAGUCUACAAAUAUUUAAGCUUCUUAUUACAUAGCAGACACUACUCUAAGCAAAGGCUAUUACACUAUGGUAAACCCAACAUAUAUGGCCCUUGCCUUCACAGAGUCUUCAGUCUUGGAAAAAGAAAAUCACCCUGUUCACUUCCUUCACUCUACCUGCCACACUUGGCAGGUAGAGGAACACCUCCCACACCACUUUGAGGUUGGGCAUCUUCUUAACUAAAGUAGACAUUGCUAGCAUACACCUGCCAAAAGUAAAAUCUAAUUACCUUUGGCUACUAUGAAUUGAAGAAAUAAAUAAAGAGACUAGGUCUUAGUCUGGGAAUAUGAGUUUCUAAAUCCAUAGUUUACAAGGGAUUAACAUUGUAGAGUUUCAUGAAACUUCUGUAUUAGCAGAGACUCUAGGCAAGAACAGCUACCAUAAGACUUCAUUUUUAAAUUUUAUAUGGAAGAUCCCAGGCAAAGAUCAACCUGCAAAGAUUAAUCUGGGAAGCCCCAGUUUGUCUGGGAUAUUCUGAAAGUACUCUGGAGGUUAAUUUCCUGAGCUUAAAAGUGUUUUGUUUUUGUUUUAAUUUACAAAAAAAAAAAAAAAAAAUGCU